AACGAACGCUGGUGGCGUGCUUAACACAUGCAAGUCGGACGAGAAAGUUUCCUUCGGGAAUUAGUAAGUGGCGCAAGGGUGAGUAUCACGUGAAUAAUCUGCCCUCGAGAUCGGGAUAACAUGGUGAAAACUAUGCUAAUACCGGAUAAGACCACGUUUCAUAAGAAAUGCGGUAAAAGGAGUCUCAAUCUUCACUCGAGGAUGAGUUCGCGCAACAUUAGCUUGUUGGUGAGAUAAAAGCUCACCAAGGCUACGAUGUUUAGCCGACCUGAGAGGGUGAACGGCCACACUGGAACUGAGACACGGUCCAGACUCCUACGGGAGGCAGCAGUGGGGAAUAUUGCGCAAUGGGCGAAAGCCUGACGCAGCAACGCCGUGUGAGCGAUG
Molecule: ribosomal RNA, 387 nt
Filed under: uncultured Nitrospina sp.
Lineage: Bacteria; Pseudomonadati; Nitrospinota; Nitrospinia; Nitrospinales; Nitrospinaceae
Description: bacterial SSU rRNA
Rfam family: Bacterial small subunit ribosomal RNA
Source: RNAcentral